Molecule: ribosomal RNA, 501 nt
Filed under: uncultured bacterium
Lineage: Bacteria
Description: partial 16S ribosomal RNA
Rfam family: Bacterial small subunit ribosomal RNA
Source: RNAcentral
AUUAAACGCUGGCGGCAGGCUUAACACAUGCAAGUCGAGCGGAGAUGAGGUGCUUGCACCUUAUCUUAGCGGCGGACGGGUGAGUAAUGCUUAGGAAUCUGCCUAUUAGUGGGGGACAACAUUCCGAAAGGAAUGCUAAUACCGCAUACGUCCUACGGGAGAAAGCAGGGGAUCUUCGGACCUGGCGCUAAUAGAUGAGCCUAAGUCGGAUUAGCUAGUUGGUGGGGUAAAGGCCUACCAAGGCGACGAUCUGUAGCGGGUCUGAGAGGAUGAUCCGCCACACUGGGACUGAGACACGGCCCAGACUCCUACGGGAGGCAGCAGUGGGGAAUAUUGGACAAUGGGGGGAACCCUGAUCCAGCCAUGCCGCGUGUGUGAAGAAGGCCUUAUGGUUGUAAAGCACUUUAAGCGAGGAGGAGGCUACUGAGACUAAUACUCUUGGAUAGUGGACGUUACUCGCAGAAUAAGCACCGGCUAACUCUGUGCCAGCAGCCGCCGUAA